Molecule: ribosomal RNA, 253 nt
Filed under: uncultured bacterium
Lineage: Bacteria
Description: partial 16S ribosomal RNA
Rfam family: Bacterial small subunit ribosomal RNA
Source: RNAcentral
UACGGAGGGUGCAAGCGUUAUCCGGAUUUACUGGGUUUAAAGGGUGCGUAGGUGGGUAGGUAAGUCAGUGGUGAAAUCUUCGAGCUUAACUCGGAAACUGCCAUUGAUACUAUUUAUCUUGAAUACUCUGGAGGUAAGCGGAAUAUGUCAUGUAGCGGUAAAAUGCUUAGAUAUGACAUAGAACACCAAUUGCGAAGGCAGCUUACUACAUAGUUAUUGACACUGAGGCACGAAAGCGUGGGGAUCAAACAGG